This 482-nucleotide ribosomal RNA is filed under the name uncultured bacterium. Its description in RNAcentral is "bacterial SSU rRNA". It matches the Rfam family "Bacterial small subunit ribosomal RNA", at positions 30 to 507 of the family's 1533-position model. The record is from RNAcentral.
AUUGAACGCUGGCGGAAUGCUUUACACAUGCAAGUCGAACGGCAGCACGGGGCAACCUGGUGGCGAGUGGCGAACGGGUGAGUAAUACAUCGGAACGUGCCCAAUCGUGGGGGAUAACGUGGCGAAAGUUACGCUAAUACCGCAUACGAUCUACGGAUGAAAGCGGGGGAUCGCAAGACCUCGCGCGAGUGGAGCGGCCGAUGUCAGAUUAGGUAGUUGGUGGGGUAAAGGCUCACCAAGCCAACGAUCUGUAGCUGGUCUGAGAGGACGACCAGCCACACUGGAACUGAGACACGGUCCAGACUCCUACGGGAGGCAGCAGUGGGGAAUUUUGGACAAUGGGCGCAAGCCUGAUCCAGCCAUUCCGCGUGCAGGAUGAAGGCCUUCGGGUUGUAAACUGCUUUUGUACGGAACGAAACGGCGAGCUCUAAUACAGUUUGCUAAUGACGGUACCGUAAGAAUAAGCACCGGCUAACUACGUG